CACAGUACGUGAAACCGUUUAGAGGCAAACGGAGAGGACCGCAAAGUCCGCGCGUCGGAUUCAAUUCGCCGGCCGUACGGCGUCCGCAUCGUGGCAUCCGUGAAGGAGUUCGGUGUGGGCGUUAAGCGUGCGGCGGCGGGUGCACUUUCGGCGCGCGGAGCGCCACGACCGGUUCGGUGGCGGUCAGAAGCCCCCGCGGAAGGUGCCCGAUGCCGCAAGGUGUCGGAGUUACAGCCGCGGACGGCGUCGACCCGUCGUCGGACCGAGGAAGACACUUACGCGGCCGGUGGCGGUCGCCGUUGGCUCGUUCGUCCGUUCGACCUGUGGGGACUGGUUUCAGUGCCCGCUAACCGCGGGCGUUCGGUGCUGGCGGUCGGUCGUCGUCGGCCUGGGGUCGGUGGCGAAUCGGUCGGUCACCUGUCCGACCCGUCUUGAAACACGGACCAAGGAGUCUAACAUGUGCGCGAGUCAGUGGGUGAUACGAAACCUAGAGGCAGAGUGAAAGCAAAGGCCGUUCCUUGCGUUCGGCCCGGGUAGGAUCCCUCGUCGCACGCGGCGGGGGCGCACUACCGGCCCGUCUCGGCCGCAACGUCGGCGAGGCGGAGCGAGAGCGUACACGUUGGGACCCGAAAGAUGGUGAACUAUGCCCGAGUAGGACGAAGCCAGAGGAAACUCUGGUGGAGGUCCGCAGCGAUUCUGACGUGCAAAUCGAUCGUCAAACUUGGGUAUAGGGGCGAAAGACUAAUCGAACCAUCUAGUAGCUGGUCUGCGAAGUC
Molecule: ribosomal RNA, 776 nt
Filed under: Tubifex tubifex (sludge worm)
Lineage: Eukaryota; Metazoa; Annelida; Clitellata; Tubificida; Naididae
Description: partial 28S rRNA
Rfam family: Eukaryotic large subunit ribosomal RNA
Source: RNAcentral